UACGGGGGGGGUAAGCGUUGUUCGGAAUUACUGGGCGUAAAGGGCUCGUAGGCGGCCAACUAAGUCAGACGUGAAAUCCCUCAGCUUAACUGGGGAACUGCGUCUGAUACUGGAUGGCUUGGAUUCGGGAGAGGAAUGCGGAAUUCCAGGUGUAGCGGUGAAAUGCGUAGAUAUCUGGAGGAACACCGGUGGCGAAGGCGGCGUUCUGGACUGUAUCUGACACUGAAGAACGAAAGCCAGGGGAGCAAACGGG
This 253-nucleotide ribosomal RNA is filed under the name uncultured bacterium. RNAcentral's name for it is "partial 16S ribosomal RNA". It matches the Rfam family "Bacterial small subunit ribosomal RNA", at positions 524 to 776 of the family's 1533-position model. The record is from RNAcentral.